Molecule: ribosomal RNA, 560 nt
Filed under: uncultured bacterium
Lineage: Bacteria
Description: bacterial SSU rRNA
Rfam family: Bacterial small subunit ribosomal RNA
Source: RNAcentral
CCUACGGGAGGCAGCAGUGGGGAAUAUUGGACAAUGGGCGAAAGCCUGAUCCAGCAAUGCCGCGUGAGUGAUGAAGGCCUUCGGGUCGUAAAGCUCUUUUACCAGGGAUGAUAAUGACAGUACCUGGAGAAUAAGCUCCGGCUAACUCCGUGCCAGCAGCCGCGGUAAUACGGAGGGAGCUAGCGUUGUUCGGAAUUACUGGGCGUAAAGAGUACGUAGGCGGUUAUUCAAGUCAGAGGUGAAAGCCCGGGGCUCAACCCCGGAACUGCCUUUGAAACUAGAUAACUAGAGUCUUGGAGAGGUUAGUGGAAUUCCGAGUGUAGAGGUGAAAUUCGUAGAUAUUCGGAAGAACACCAGUGGCGAAGGCGACUAACUGGACAAGUACUGACGCUGAGGUACGAAAGCGUGGGGAGCAAACAGGAUUAGAUACCCUGGUAGUCCACGCCGUAAACGAUGAUAACUAGUUGUUCGGUCACUUGGUGACUGAGUGACGCAGCUAACGCAUUAAGUUAUCCGCCUGGGGAUACGGUCGCAAGNUUAAAACUCAAAGGAAUUGACGG